UCUGCCAGCAGGUCCAGAUGUAGGACUCUCAGCUCCUUCUCCCGCACCAUGUCUGCCGGCAUGCUGCCAUGCUUCUCACCAUGAUGAUAAUGGACUAAACCUCUGAAACUGGCAGAAAUUCAACACACGUUGUAGAGGUGGCAUGCCUGUCCGUUCCUCAGAAAUGAAGGCAUCCCAUCCUCUUUGAAGUCUGAAGUUGAGCUUCUUAAGUGGGUAGCUGUUCCAGCUUUGACCUAGAAGUACUACCCCCAGUGAGGCUUCCAGUAACUGUCACGCCUACCUAUGACCUGCCCCUGAGACGGGAGUCCUUAAGACCUGAGAUCCAGAUGUGCUGGCUCUCUUGGUUCCUGGUGAUCAUGGAUGCUGAAUGGUAGACGGAGCAGAGUUCUCCAGAGAACACCGCUGGACUACACCUCACCUCUCCCAGAUCCUGUAACCAAUCCCUUUACUUGCUGUAAAUUACCCCCAAAUAAACCUCCCUUUUAACUACAUGGAGUUGCCUUAAUAAAUCCCCACAAUACUCCACCAAAAUGUGACCGACGCAUGCUUCAAGCCCUCCCCACCAUGCCUUUCCCACCAUGGCAGACUGGACCAUCUCAAAUUGUGAGCCCAAAUAAAGCCUUCUUCCCAUAAGUUACCCCUGACAAGUGUUCUGUCAUGGUGGUAAGAAAAGCUACAUAACAAUGACUACAGUUUUCCUGGGAAUAUAGGUCAGUAGUUGAGAGCUUGCCCACUAUGCACGUGGAUAAGGCUCGGGAUUCAACCUCUGGGAUUUCAGCAAACAGGUUCAAUUCUGUUUGUUGUCUUAUUGGUGCUUAUUGUCUAGCAGGGAGGACAGAUAGGUAAGCAAGAUAUGCCAACAGAAUGUAAAGGUUUGCAAACAGGCAAGUCCAAAGGGUAUGGACCCUGUAGAGGGACCAUCUAAUUCAAUUUUCGGUGGUGCUAAAGCAGAGGCCUGGAGGAU
Long non-coding RNA from Peromyscus eremicus (cactus mouse), 964 nucleotides. RefSeq lists it as uncharacterized. The record is from RefSeq and is a predicted model, not a curated record. Lineage: Eukaryota; Metazoa; Chordata; Mammalia; Rodentia; Cricetidae. The transcript has 3 exons.